UGGUGGAGUGAUUUGUCUGGUUAAUUCCGUUAACGAACGAGACCUUAACCUAUUAAUUAGUUACGUGAACAUGGGCUUCGGUCCUGUCUGUUCACGGGCAACUUCUUAGAGGGACUCUCGGCAUCUCUAGCCGAUGGAAGUUUGAGGCAAAAACA
This 155-nucleotide ribosomal RNA is filed under the name uncultured eukaryote. Its description in RNAcentral is "partial 18S ribosomal RNA". It matches the Rfam family "Eukaryotic small subunit ribosomal RNA", at positions 1299 to 1458 of the family's 1831-position model. The record is from RNAcentral.